CCUACGGGUGGCAGCAGUGGGGAAUAUUGCCCAAUGGGGGAAACCCUGAUGCAGCGACGCCGCGUGAGUGAAGAAGUGUUUCGGUAUGUAAAGCUCUAUCAGCAGGGAAGAAGAAAGACGGUCCCUGACUAAGAAGCGCCGGCUAACUACGUGCCAGCAGCCGCGGUCAUAAGUAGGGGGCAAGCGUUAUCCGGAUUUACUGGGUGGAAAGGGAGGGUAGACGGCGGUGCAAGUCUGAGGUGAAGGCCCAGGGCUCAACCCUGGGACUGCUUUGGAAACGGUGGAGCUAGAGUGCUGGAGAGGUAAGUGGAAUUCCUAGUGUAGCGGUGAAAUGCGUAGAUAUUAGGAGGAACACCAGUGGCGAAGGCGGCUUACUGGACAGUAACUGACGUUGAGGCUCGAAAGCGUGGGGAGCAAACAGGAUUAGAUACCCGAGUAGUC
Molecule: ribosomal RNA, 441 nt
Filed under: uncultured bacterium
Lineage: Bacteria
Description: partial 16S ribosomal RNA
Rfam family: Bacterial small subunit ribosomal RNA
Source: RNAcentral